GCUCUAGGAAAUGACUAAACUUUGCAAACUUAUAAAAGAAUGGAGAAAGAACGAAUAGGUUCAUUUUUAAGAGGCCAUUUCUAGAGUGAAAUUGAGGAUGGUUAUAAAAUACAUUAAAUAUAAUUACAAAAGAAAAUGGGGUAGGAGGCAAUUAGGAUUAAACUAACUAAAGUGUUCAAACUGUAAAAUAGGAGCUAAAUGGAGGAAAAGGUAUCAAAAAGCUUUGAGGAAGAAUGAUAGGAAGGAGAAAAAAGAUACUACGUAGUAAAGAUGGAGAAAUAUGUAAGAGAAGAUAACACACAAUGAAAAGGAAGGAAAAAAAUGAAGAGAACUAUAAGAAGAGUGAUAAAAAGAGAAGAUGGGAGUAGGAACAAGUAGGAAUUGACUUUAUAAGCCAAACCUAAAACAGAGAGAAAUAACAAUAAAAAGAAAAGCAUUGUUAAAGCCAUUUUUUAAGUAUAUUUGAGGAAUUUAAUUUGUAAUUUAAUUUUCUUUUCAUUAAAUUUCAUUAUCAUUUGGUAAUUAUUUUGUUGUUUUUUCUUCUUUUGUGGCAAGGCUUGCCAAAUUGAUGGCCACAUAAGCGUUUUUUUAUAUAAAAAGAAAAAGAAAUGGCUACAUAAGUGUUUUUUUUUUAGGGGGAAAUGGCUACAUAAGCUAAUUACAGUUUCUUAAACUAAUUUCUUAAGAGACAUAGAGCACUUAAGAGGAUCAUUUAACAAAAAUAGUGAUACCACUUAAGAAAGAUCACUUAAGAAAUUAAGAGAAAUUAGCUUAGAAAAAAGUUAAUAAAUUCCAUAUAUAUAGAGAGAGAGCACUUAUCACUUAAGAAGAAAGACCACGCACUCAAGAAGAAAGAAAGAUCAUUCAGGAAGAAAGAUCACCUAAAAAAGGUCAAUUAAGAAGGAAGAUCAAUUUAGAAUAAAGGUAACUUAAGAAAAGAAAGAUCCCCUAAGAAAAUCAAGAGACCACUUAAGAAAAAUCACUUAAGAAAAUCAAAGCGGUCAUAGAAAUUAGCUUAAAAUAGUGAGGGAGUGAGAAAGAAACCAUUUAAGAAAGAUCACUUAUGAAAAAAGAUCAUUUAAGAAAAUCAAGGAAAUUAUCUUAAGAAUCAGGGCAAUAAGCUAAGGAAAAAGGCUUACUAAAAUGUGUGUGCGAGAUAGAGAUCACUUAAAAAAUCAUGGAAAUAGCUUGAGAGAGAGAGAGAGACCUCUUAUGAAGGAUCAUUUAAGAAAAUCAAGUCAAUUAGUUAAUAUGUGUGUGUGUGUGUGUCUGAGAGGGAGAGAGAGAGAGAGAUGCCACUUAUUAAAGACCACUUAAGAAAAUUAGGGGCAUUAGCUUUAGAGAGAUAGAAAUACCAUUUAAGAAAGUUCAUAUAAGGCAAUAAGAACUAUAAGAUUGGGAAAAUAGAGGGUACACAACACCCAACGAGGGAAGAAGAGAUAGGAAAAAAUUUACCAGAAGUGAUAAAAAGAUAUGGAAAAGCUAACAUGAAUUGACUUUAUAUAAAUCAACAAAUAACACCAUAAAAACAAUUUGGAUAUAAAUUUAAUUAAUACUUUUAAUAUCAACAAAACUACAAAAAAAAAAAAAAUCCUAAUAUAUUUUUUUAAAGUAAAAGGAGGAAAUAUUGAAUCUCUUUAAGAAAGCAUUAUAAGAGGCAAUAAUCUAAGGCAUAUUAUGGUAGUUGGUAAACUUAAGGAAUUUUUCUAGGUUUCACAUAAGGCAUUGAAUAAAAAGAAAUUUUUUAGGAUUGUUAGAUGCUAUAUUUAUUAUAUAGAAUAUGUUGUAUGAAUUUCAGUUAUUGAGUAAAUAAAUUGUGAAACUUUGUCACAUAUAAAAAUUUAAAAUUCGCUUAGACUAAUCUUUAGUUUUAUUCUAAUGUUUUAAAUAAUUGUUAUAAUUUUCUUAAGCGUUUGAAUAUGGGAUUGGUUUCUAACUUUGAUUUGAAAAAAGAUACUUAAUAAUGGUGUUUUAGAGUUCAUUCUCUGUCUUAUAUUUUAGAUAGGAGUUCAUGAUAGAUUUCAGGUUUAAUUGUAUUUGAGAGUAUUGUUAUGUAUGAGAUCAUUUCUGUUUUAUGAGAUUUGGUUUAAUGGUUUUGGGUUUAAUCUACAGUUGUACCAGUUUGACACUGGUUACGAACAAAACAAAGGUUAUUGUCAUGUCAUUACAGUUGGAUUUUGAUUAGAAAAGUUACAUUUAACUGCUCAACAUAAUUAAAGCAGUCACCAAGAAAAUGCCAGAAGUUAAGAAGCAAGAGCAUCAGAACAGUACUUCUGUUUUGAUUGGAAAUUAUAAUAAACAUAAUGAAUAAUAAAAUCUCACAUCUUAAACAGUAGCUGAUAUUGUUAACCUAUGCUUUCGUUUUGUGUUGUGACAGAUUUGUGAUAGAAUAUGUAUCCACAUGAUGAAAAUGGAAAUGGUAAUUGAUCAGCAGAAGCUUUGUCUCCGCCUCCAACAGAAAUUCUUCCAGAUAUAGUACCAAUUAAGGCUGAACCAGAUCCGCACAAAGAAGAAACGUGACCCUAUGGCUAUAUGCGGCAGUGGGAUCAAAGGUCAAAAGAUUCAGCUGCUUCGUAAUCGCUUCAAAGACACUGGACCUAAGUUAGCUUAAGGAAGGGAGCCCAAAACCAAAUCCAAAAAGCACGGGAAAAUCAACUCUAAAGAAGAUUAUGGUUCUCUUAUCAAGGGUAAAACUAGGGAAAUUUCUGCUUGUCUGGUGAAAAGGCUAAUGCUUCAGCUGAAAAACCUUCGGGUUCAGAGAAGUAGAAAGAAGAUCUUGAAGCAACAAUUUUCUUGCUUUGCAGCCACGUUAGAGUUUACUCCUAUAUUCCUGAAAUAGCUAAUAUUCUUAAGGGGAUUGCUUUGCUGCAAGUUUGUGAGAACAAAUGGGCUGCUGUGAGCUUAGAUUUCCCAAAUUGAGAAAUGCAACUAAUGAAGUAUUGCUUAAUUUAUACUAUGUAACUUAUAUUUUUUUUUUUUUAUGGAAAUCAGUUAGAUUCUUGAAUAAAUUUUCUCUACGGGACAUCUGAAAAAAAAGACAUUGAGACUUGUUUGUAACUUAUAAUGAAGGACUAGGCAUGAACUUUA
Long non-coding RNA from Chenopodium quinoa (quinoa), 3087 nucleotides. RefSeq lists it as uncharacterized. The transcript has 3 exons. Lineage: Eukaryota; Viridiplantae; Streptophyta; Magnoliopsida; Caryophyllales; Amaranthaceae. The record is from RefSeq and is a predicted model, not a curated record.